ACUUAAAACUUUAAUUUUUUUAAAACACAUUUUGAUUCUUUUAUAAGAAAUUUAAACAUUAUAAAUAUUUAAACAUUAUAAAUAUUUAAACAUUAUACUACGGGUGAAAUUUUAUAAUUGACUGUUUGGGUUGAUAAGAAUUUGCGAUAGAAUUAGGAGUGAAAUCCUAGAAUGAUAAUUAAAAUAUAAUUAUACAAUUAAAUACUACCACGGGUGAAAUCCUAGAAUUGACGGGCUUGAUUCGAUAUUAAUAUGGGAUGGUGUACUACGGAAUAUUUUAGAAUUGUCUGGUUUGGGUUGAUAAUAAUUUGCGAUAGAAUUAGGAGUGAAAUCAUAGAAUGACAAUUAAAAUAUAAUUAUACAAUUAAAUACUACCACAGGUGAAAUCAUAGAAUUGACGGGUUUGAUUCGAUAUUAAUAUGGAAUGGUGUACUACGGGUGAAAUCCGAGAAACAACAAUCAAAAUACAAUUAUACAAUAUUAAACAUUUAACAAAAUAAACAAAUACAACUUAAAACUUUAAAAUUUGAGUUAUAAAAUUUCGUCUAGCGGUGAAUUAUACAUUUAAAUCAAACAAUAGCAUAAAUUUAUUAAAUCAUCCUAAAAAAUAUUCAAUUAUUUUUUAUUUAAUAAAAAUAUAGGUCCGCGGUAUACCGCGGGUUAAUAUCUAAUAAAGAUAUAAACUCUUAGUCUUAGCAAAAGAACUGGGACUUGCAAGAACAAAAUUCCCUGAUUCUCUUCUAU
Molecule: small RNA, 744 nt
Filed under: Arabidopsis thaliana (thale cress)
Lineage: Eukaryota; Viridiplantae; Streptophyta; Magnoliopsida; Brassicales; Brassicaceae
Description: ATSL056480
Source: RNAcentral